RNAcentral lists this ribosomal RNA (702 nucleotides) under uncultured bacterium. RNAcentral describes it as "bacterial SSU rRNA". It matches the Rfam family "Bacterial small subunit ribosomal RNA", at positions 8 to 697 of the family's 1533-position model. The record is from RNAcentral.
AGAGUUUGAUCAUGGCUCAGGACGAACGCUGGCGGCGCGCUUAACACAUGCAAGUCGAGCGAGAACCAGUCCUUCGGGGCUGGGGACAGCGGCGAACGGGUGAGUAACACGUGGGUAAUCUGCCCUCGGCACCGGAAUAGCCCGGGGAAACCCGGAUUAAUGCCGGAUGGCCUCUCGAGCUUUCGAGCUCGCGAGAAAAGGUAGCUUUGGCCUCCGGCCGAGGAUGAGCCCGCGGCCGAUUAGCUUGUUGGUGGGGUAAUGGCUCACCAAGGCGACGAUCGGUAGCUGGUCUGAGAGGACGAUCAGCCACACUGGGACUGAGACACGGCCCAGACUCCUACGGGAGGCAGCAGUGGGGAAUCUUGCGCAAUGGGCGAAAGCCUGACGCAGCGACGCCGUGUGCGGGAAGAAGGCCUUCGGGUUGUAAACCGCUUUCAGGAGGGACGAAGCCACUCAGGUUAAUAGCCGAGAGGGUGACGGUACCUCCAGAAGAAGCCCCGGCUAACUACGUGCCAGCAGCCGCGGUAAUACGUAGGGGGCUAGCGUUGUCCGGAUUUAUUGGGCGUAAAGAGCGUGUAGGCGGCCACGUAAGUCCGGUGUGAAAACUCGAGGCUUAACCUCGAGAUGUCAUCGGAAACUAUUUGGCUAGAGUCCGGAAGAGGAGAGUGGAAUUCCUGGUGUAGCGGUGAAAUGCGCAGAUAU